Homo sapiens (human) is the source of this 2826-nucleotide long non-coding RNA. Ensembl annotates it as long intergenic non-protein coding RNA 1304. The record is from Ensembl. NCBI's taxonomy places the organism in Eukaryota, Metazoa, Chordata, Mammalia, Primates, Hominidae.
UACUUGCUCCACCCCACAACUGCCUCACAAGCAUCCCAGAGUCCAGUCAGCAGACAGCAGAAGAGACUGUCAGCAGACCACCUUGGAGGGGAUGCUUGGAGCUGCCUAACGUGUGAUUCAAAGAUGAAUUCCAUGUGUUUGGAGAAGAAGCCCUAGCCUCAACACAAAGGUUGGCCACAUUCCAGCCAAGGUAGCACGGAGUGAAGGCCCGUGGAGGGAGAGCUGGGCUUUUCUGAACUACUUCAGUACACCUUGCUGUGCCUUGGCCUGCCGUGUUUCAUCCCCAUGGCUGUCCUCAGUGAUGUGCAUGGUCACUGCUCCCUUCACCACUGAGAAGACGGGCACAGGACAGUCAGGGGAUGUGUCCAAGGUCCCACAGCAGGAAGGGCUGGAGCCAGAAUGUGGUCUGAGAGGCUGGAUAUACAAAGAGACAAUGGCAUGACCAUCUGUACAAAUGGAACUAUGGCCCACAACCUGCAGCAGCCAGCCCAGGAAGCCAACCCGUCACCUGCAGCAGCCAGGAUGGAUGCUGGCCUGCCCUCAGUUGUACUCACAUCAUUGGUCUUAUGGGGAAAUUUUAAGACCUCCCACUUGUAAGGUUUUAUAGCCCUCUAUGGAAUAUUGAAGAAAGAGUAAAAUGCAUCCAAAAAAAAAAAAAAACACUAAACUGGAUAAAUUCUAAGGCCUCUUCAGGUCUUAAGAUGGCCAUUUUCUAGGUCCUCUUGCUGCAGCAGUGAAAUCCACAAACACGGACAAGUCAGUCAGUUACGUGCCUUUCAGAGAAAACUUCUGACUUAGGAAUUCCAGCUAUUUGGCCCAACCCAUAUUAGAUUGUGUUAUAAAGACAUGGUAAAUUACAUCACGAAGGGAAGAGCAGAGGAAACAUAAUAUUCCUUCAAGACCCAUCAGCUCAGAUGUUAGCAGAACACCCCUAAGGAGGAAAACAAGAAAUUUUGGGUUUGAACUUGGUACUUCCCAGCAGCCCUGGGAGUGGGGUCAGAAGCCCUGCUGGGGGCCAAAGAACUCUGAGGAUCAAAGAUGUUGAGCAUCACCUUAGAGGCCAAAGAUCAGAACAGUGGAGGUGGCCUUUGAAGCCCAACCUGUCUUUCACCAGAGAGUGAGAACGGCCUCUAUUUCCAGGAAGCUCACUGCAGCAAUAAUCAUGAUGCUCUGAGCCUGACAAGGUGAGAAUUUACUUUCAGCACCUGCAAUAGUUUCCUAUUAAAGUUACAUAUGAAACCCUGCCGUCUUGUACCAACUAAUGUUCACACCAGCGUUCCUAUUUUCAAGAUAAAUUGCAAAAUAAAAACUCUUGUUUUCGUUAGCAAAAGAAAACUUCUUUAGGAGGAUAAAAGGGAGAUGAAGAAACAGAAAACACAUCAGCUCUCCAUCCAGAUUACAGAAAGCAGAAAACAUCCUGAAGUGAAUAACAUAGGAAUCGCUCUUUUUCCCCCCUGAGAUAGCAGGUUACUUAUGAGAAACAAGCUUGAAAUCUCUGCACCUGGACCAGCUUCCAGAGGCUUUUGUCCUGACCAGCUGGCUUUGGGGAAGUAAAGGAAACCAGAGAAGAAGAGGCUGAAAGAAUUGGUUUCCACCGUGACCUUUGAACCCUCGGGCGAGUUGUCAGCCUCACUGAGGAUGAGUGUACUCCAUAUCAAGUGAGGUCACUUUACUCGCAAGCUUGUUGUGAGGACUGAAUGAAACCUUUUCUUUUUUCUUGGAGUUUCAGAGCAACGUCCCUGAGCCCAGCCCCACACUGGCUUGAGCCCUGUCGUCGGUCAAGACACGGUGCUUUCUCCCCUCCCCUCUGCACUCCAGCUUACUCUGCAGUCAGGAGGUGGCACCACGAUCCCCUUUAAGACUUUGCCACUUGGGCCAGCUGCGCCCCUGUGAAAUUCCCUGUUUCUAUUGCAGGCCACAAGGACGAGCUGAGAAAUGGCUUCCAGUCACCAUCUAGAUUAGAAAGCCUAUAUUUCAAAUAUAGAUAUAUCAAUUAUGCCUGUAAAAAGACAUUAAAUCCCACAGGGCUGUAAUUCCUAGACUCUACGAAUUUCAUCUUGCACCAAAUUUUAUUAUUUCAUUUAUAAUUCGGAUUCUUCAAAUCUAAGAGUGCCUGGCUCAAAAUUAAAAUACCUACAACUAUGCCAAAACUGGACUCUUUAAUUGCCUUACUGGAACCAGUAGCUGAUUCAAAGCAAAACGAAACAAAAUUCCUCCUUUCUCUGAUUUAGUGAAUCAAUGAUCUAACUGAACUCAUUUUUGGACUGAGUUUGCGGCACUUGCAGCCCUGAGGGACACAUUCCCCCACCACACUGAGCCUGCACUCCCAUCAAUGCAAAUGAACAUUUUGCUUAUUCAGAUUGGGGGGGUGAAGGAAGUCACAAAAGGGUUAAUACAUAUGGCAUUUCAUUGUAAUAUGUACUCACUACUAACUAAAUUAAAAGAGAUGUGAGUUAUUAAAAACUCCAUCUUAAGAAAGUAACAGAAAUCAGAGUUCAGAUUCGUUGUUACUGAGUUUCCAACCAACACCUGUGAGUUAAACCUACGGCCACCCUGAAAACGGUUCAUAUUUUCAAAAGCUUCAUCGAAGAUGAGCUGCACUAAAGAUUCAUAUUACAUAUCAUGCUGCAAUAAGAAAAUCAAAUAAGGCCUUUCCAUAUUCAAUAAUAAAGUUUAAAGAAAAGUAAUAUUUGUUUAGCCAGUUAGCCAGAAAUUAGAUGUAUCAGAAUACAUCAUUCUUUGAGCAUUUUAGAAAAAUCAGGGUAUUUCUACAUUGUGUUUUUCUUUGUAAGCCCUCAAAAAAUAUAGAGAAUAUUCUUGAAAUUA